CCCUUAGAUGUUCUGGGCCGCACGCGCGCUACACUGUUCGACGCAGCGAGUCUUAACCUUGACCGAAAGGUUUGGGUAAUCUUCAGCAAAGUCGAACGUGAUGGGGAUCGAUCAUUGCAAUUAUUGAUCGUGAACGAGGAAUUCCUAGUAAGUGCAAGUCAUCAGCUUGCGCUGAUUACGUCCCUGCCCUUUGUACACACCGCCCGUCGCUACUACCGAUUGAAUGGUUUAGUGAGAUCUCUGGAUUGACGUUGGCUAGGGGGCGACCCUUGGCCAGACUGUUGAGAAACUGCUCAAACUUGAUCAUUUAGAGGAAGUAAAAGUCGUAACA
Molecule: ribosomal RNA, 331 nt
Filed under: uncultured eukaryote
Lineage: Eukaryota
Description: partial 18S ribosomal RNA
Rfam family: Eukaryotic small subunit ribosomal RNA
Source: RNAcentral